ACAGAACAGGCCCUCCUCCAGGCUGAGGCUGAAUUCCUGGCGUGAUUAGAAGAAGAAUUUAGGGCUCGGUUCUCAGCACGGUUCUCAGGAGCACAGGAUGGGCCAAGUCCAGUGCCUGCCAACCUUCUCUGUACCCUCCCUCUGGCUGCCAAAUCUGACUUUGAUUAGCGUGUGGAGGGGAAGAAAGCAGGAAAAUAGAAUAUUAAAAUCUUAAUUCAAUUUAAAACACUGUCAUUCACAGGCAUGCCAAACAGUGAGAUGACUAAUUAUUAUGCAAAUGAGGGAGAUAGAAAAGUGAUUAAUAAUUGCACAAAUUAAAAAUUAUUGUAAACAUC
Molecule: long non-coding RNA, 335 nt
Organism: Mastomys coucha (southern multimammate mouse)
Lineage: Eukaryota; Metazoa; Chordata; Mammalia; Rodentia; Muridae
Exons: 2
Source: RefSeq, a predicted model, not a curated record